CUGUUGAGGUGAAAUAAAAUGAAUGUGUGAGUCGAUACCUGCGGCGGUAAGAAUCAAGUGCUCACCUGAAAUCGCAUCAGUACUCACACCGACGACCAGACCCGGUGUCACGCCAUCCAUCACACCGGGGUUACCACUUUUACCGAUACCGACAAUUUUACCAUCACGGACCCCCACGUCGGCUUUCACCACACCCAGACGAGCAUCCACAAUGGUAACGUUGGUAAUCACUAAAUCCAGAACACCAUUAUCACGGGUCAGUUGGUUAUUCGCGCCCAUCCCGUCACGC
Molecule: small RNA, 289 nt
Filed under: Yersinia massiliensis
Lineage: Bacteria; Pseudomonadati; Pseudomonadota; Gammaproteobacteria; Enterobacterales; Yersiniaceae
Description: 5' ureB small RNA
Rfam family: 5' ureB small RNA
Source: RNAcentral